RNAcentral lists this ribosomal RNA (464 nucleotides) under Vreelandella stevensii. RNAcentral's name for it is "partial 16S ribosomal RNA". It matches the Rfam family "Bacterial small subunit ribosomal RNA", at positions 338 to 795 of the family's 1533-position model. The record is from RNAcentral. Lineage: Bacteria; Pseudomonadati; Pseudomonadota; Gammaproteobacteria; Oceanospirillales; Halomonadaceae.
CCUACGGGGGCAGCAGUGGGGAAUAUUGGACAAUGGGCGAAAGCCUGAUCCAGCCAUGCCGCGUGUGUGAAGAAGGCCUUCGGGUUGUAAAGCACUUUCAGUGGGGAAGAAAGCCUUGGGGCUAAUACCCUCGAGGAAGGACAUCACCCACAGAAGAAGCACCGGCUAACUCCGUGCCAGCAGCCGCGGUAAUACGGAGGGUGCGAGCGUUAAUCGGAAUUACUGGGCGUAAAGCGCGCGUAGGCGGUCUGAUAAGCCGGUUGUGAAAGCCCCGGGCUCAACCUGGGAACGGCAUCCGGAACUGUCAGGCUAGAGUGCAGGAGAGGAAGGUAGAAUUCCCGGUGUAGCAGUGAAAUGCGUAGAGAUCGGGAGGAAUACCAGUGGCGAAGGCGGCCUUCUGGACUGACACUGACGCUGAGGUGCGAAAGCGUGGGUAGCAAACAGGAUUAGAUACCCCUGUAGUC